Molecule: ribosomal RNA, 253 nt
Filed under: uncultured bacterium
Lineage: Bacteria
Description: partial 16S ribosomal RNA
Rfam family: Bacterial small subunit ribosomal RNA
Source: RNAcentral
UACGUAGGGUGCAAGCGUUGUCCGGAAUCAUUGGGCGUAAAGAGCUCGUAGGCGGCUUGUCGCGUCGGCUGUGAAAACCUGGGGCUCAACCCCGGGCCUGCAGCCGAUACGGGCAAGCUAGAAUUCGGUAGGGGAGACUGGAAUUCCUGGUGUAGCGGUGAAAUGCGCAGAUAUCAGGAGGAACACCGGUGGCGAAGGCGGGUCUCUGGGCAGUAACUGACGCUGAGGAGCGAAAGCGUGGGGAGCGAACAGG